This 289-nucleotide long non-coding RNA is filed under the name Bos taurus (domestic cattle). RNAcentral's name for it is "long non-coding RNA NONBTAT020189". Lineage: Eukaryota; Metazoa; Chordata; Mammalia; Artiodactyla; Bovidae. The record is from RNAcentral.
CAUACGGUAUGGAUACUGUUUCUCCAUCUAAGUCCCAGGGUUUUCAGAUUGAUUUGUUGUUCUGGACAUUGACAUCUGUGCUGUGCCAGUGAGAGUCUAUACUGAAAGAUGCUGAAUUAAGUGUGAAUUUGUUCAUGGCCUCAAAAGGUAUUUAAUUUCUUUGAACUGUGUAGAGUUUCUCAGACUGGUGGUGCUAUAAAUACCAUGUAUUAAAUAGCCUCUUAAGAACAAAAGCUACUUUUCUUACUGUAUAAUAAAAGAACCUGUCCCCAGGGGCUGUUUGAUUGCU